GGUCAAGCGAAUAAGCGCACACGGUGGAUGCCUUGGCGGUCAGAGGCGAUGAAGGACGUGGCAGCCUGCGAAAAGUAUCGGGGAGCUGGCAACAAGCUUUGAUCCGGUAAUGUCCGAAUGGGGAAACCCACCCGCUUGCGGGUAUCCUGCAGUGAAUACAUAGCUGCUGGAAGCGAACCUGGUGAACUGAAAUAUCUAAGUAACCAGAGGAAAAGAAAUCAACCGAGAUUCCGUAAGUAGCGACGAGCGAACGCGGACUAGCCCUUAAGCUGAUUUGGUUCUAGGAAAACGCUCUGGAAAGAGCGGCCAUAGAAGGUGAUAGCCCUGUAUCUGAAAGGGCCAUUUCAGUGAAGACGAGUAGGGCGGGGCACGUGAAACCCUGUCUGAACAUGGGGGGACCAUCCUCCAAGGCUAAAUACUACUGACCGACCGAUAGUGAACCAGUACCGUGAGGGAAAGGCGAAAAGAACCCCGGAGAGGGGAGUGAAAUAGAACCUGAAACCGUGUGCGUACAAG
This 516-nucleotide ribosomal RNA is filed under the name Stenotrophomonas sp. 232. RNAcentral's name for it is "partial 23S ribosomal RNA". It matches the Rfam family "Bacterial large subunit ribosomal RNA", at positions 1 to 570 of the family's 2925-position model. Lineage: Bacteria; Pseudomonadati; Pseudomonadota; Gammaproteobacteria; Lysobacterales; Lysobacteraceae. The record is from RNAcentral.